This 253-nucleotide ribosomal RNA is filed under the name uncultured bacterium. RNAcentral's name for it is "partial 16S ribosomal RNA". It matches the Rfam family "Bacterial small subunit ribosomal RNA", at positions 524 to 776 of the family's 1533-position model. The record is from RNAcentral.
UACGGGGGGGGCAAGCGUUGUUCGGAAUUACUGGGCGUAAAGGGCUCGUAGGUGGCCAACCCAGUCGGACGUGAAAGCCCUCGGCUUAACCGGGGAACUGCGUCCGAUACUAGUUGGCUUGAGUCUGGGAGAGGGAUGUGGAAUUCCAGGUGUAGCGGUGAAAUGCGUAGAUAUCUGGAGGAACACCGGUGGCGAAGGCGGCAUCCUGGACCAGUACUGACACUGAGGAGCGAAAGCCAGGGGAGCAAACGGG